RNAcentral lists this ribosomal RNA (718 nucleotides) under uncultured bacterium. Its description in RNAcentral is "bacterial SSU rRNA". It matches the Rfam family "Bacterial small subunit ribosomal RNA", at positions 9 to 704 of the family's 1533-position model. The record is from RNAcentral.
GAGUUUGAUCCUGGCUCAGAUUGAACGCUGGCGGCAGGCCUAACACAUGCAAGUCGAGCGGAAACGAGUUAACUGAACCUUCGGGGAACGUUAACGGCGUCGAGCGGCGGACGGGUGAGUAAUGCCUGGGAAAUUGCCCUGAUGUGGGGGAUAACCAUUGGAAACGAUGGCUAAUACCGCAUAAUAGCUUCGGCUCAAAGAGGGGGACCUUCGGGCCUCUCGCGUCAGGAUAUGCCCAGGUGGGAUUAGCUAGUUGGUGAGGUAAUGGCUCACCAAGGUGACGAUCCCUAGCUGGUCUGAGAGGAUGAUCAGCCACACUGGAACUGAGACACGGUCCAGACUCCUACGGGAGGCAGCAGUGGGGAAUAUUGCACAAUGGGCGCAAGCCUGAUGCAGCCAUGCCGCGUGUAUGAAGAAGGCCUUCGGGUUGUAAAGUACUUUCAGCAGUGAGGAAGGUGGGUAUGUUAAUAGCAUAUUCAUUUGACGUUAGCUGCAGAAGAAGCACCGGCUAACUCCGUGCCAGCAGCCGCGGUAAUACGGAGGGUGCGAGCGUUAAUCGGAAUUACUGGGCGUAAAGCGCAUGCAGGUGGUUUGUUAAGUCAGAUGUGAAAGCCCGGGGCUCAACCUCGGAAUUGCAUUUGAAAACUGGCAAACUAGAGUACUGUAGAGGGGGGGUAGAAUUUCAGGUGUAGCGGUGAAAUGCGUAAGAUUCUGGAAG